This 1436-nucleotide ribosomal RNA is filed under the name metagenome. RNAcentral describes it as "bacterial SSU rRNA". It matches the Rfam family "Archaeal small subunit ribosomal RNA". The record is from RNAcentral.
AUCCGUUGAUCCUGCGGAGGGUUGCUGCUAUUUGGAUUCGAUUUAGCCAUGCAAGUUCAGAUGCGCAAGCAUCGGCAAACUGCUCAGUAACACGUCGAUAAUCUGCCCUUAGGUAUGGGAUAGCCACGGGAAACUGUGGGUAAAACCGUAUAGGAGAGAGAGGCUGUAAUGCGCUUUCUUUUAAACGUAAGGCCUAAGGAUGAGUCGGCGGCUGAUUAGGUUGUUGGCGGUGUAACGGACCACCAAGCCUAAAAUCAGUAGGGGCCCUGAGAGGGGGAGCCCCGAGAAGGGCACUGAGAUACUGGCCCUAGCCCCACGGGGUGCAGCAGGCGCGAAAACUUCGCAAUGCACGAAAGUGUGACGAGGGAAUCCAAAGUGCUUAUACUUUUGUAUAGGCUUUUGCCAAAAGUAAAUAUUUUGGCGAAUAAGUGGUGGGCAAGACUGGUGCCAGCCGCCGCGGUAACACCAGCGCCACAAGUGGCAACCGUAUUUAUUUGGCCUAAAGCGUUCGUAGCUGGUUAGGUAAAUUUUCUGUGAAAUUGUGUAGCUUAACUAUACAACGGGCAGGAAACACUGCUUAGCUAGGGACCGGGAGGGGUAUGGAGUAUUCUUGAGGGAGCGGUAAAAUGCUAUAAUCUCUUGCAGACUACCUGUGGCGAAGGCGCCAUACCAGAACGGAUCCGACAGUGAGGGACGAAAGCCAGGGGAGCAAUCCGGAUUAGAUACCCGAGUAGUCCUGGCCGUAAACGCUGCGAGCUAGGUGUCACAUAUUCUUUGAGAAUGUGUGGUGCCGAAGCGAAGGCAUUAAGCUCGCCGCCUGGGAAGUACGGUCGCAAGACUGAAACUUAAAGGAAUUGGCGGGGGAGCACCACAAGGGGUGCGGCGUGCGGUUUAAUCCAACUCAACGCGGAGAAUUUCACCAGAAGCGACGGCAGAAUGAAGAUCAGUCUAAAGGGCUUAUCCAACGAGCCGAGAGGUAGUGCAUGGCCGUCGUCAGCUCGUGCCGUAAGGUGUCCUGUUAAGUCAGGCAACGAGCGAGACCUGCACGUUCAAUUGCGAGCGAGUCCAGUGAUGGAUGUUUGUGCACAUUGAACGAACUGCCCUCGAAAGGGGGAGGAAGGCGCAGGCCACGGUAGGUCUGUAUGCUCCGAAUCUUCUGGGCUACACGCGCGCAACAAUGGUAAGGACAAUGGGAUGCAACACCGAAAGGUGAAGCUAAACCUCUAAACCUUAUCCUAGUCCAGAUUGAGGAUUGUAACUCAUCCUCAUGACGUCGGAAUCCCUAGUAAUCGGACCUCAUCACAGUCCGGUGAAUAUGUCCCUGCUCCUUGCACACACCGCCCGUCAAACCAACCGAGCAGGGUUUAGAUGAGAUCCAGUUAUCUUGAUUGUAUCGAAUCUAAGCUCAGUGAGGUGGGUUAAGUCGUCACAAGGUA